Gorilla gorilla gorilla (western lowland gorilla) is the source of this 1793-nucleotide long non-coding RNA. RefSeq lists it as uncharacterized. The record is from RefSeq and is a predicted model, not a curated record. Lineage: Eukaryota; Metazoa; Chordata; Mammalia; Primates; Hominidae. The transcript has 4 exons.
UUUUUUUUUUGAGAUGGAGUCUUGCUCUGUCGCCUAGGCUGGAGUGGAGCGGCGCGAUCUCAACUCACUGCAAGCUCCGCCUCCCGGGUUCACGCCAUUCUCCUGCCUCAGCCUCCCGAGUAGCUGGGACUACAGGAGCCCGCCACAACGCCCGGCUAAUUUUUUGUAUUUUUAGGAGAAACAGGGUUUCACCGUGUUAGCCAGGAUGGUCUUGAUCUCCUGACCUCGUGAUCUGCCCGCCUCGGCUUCUCAAAGUGCUGGGAUUAUAGGCGUGAGCCACCGAGCCCGGCCAGAACUACUACAAUUUUUUUAGGGUAAUUUGGUCCUCUCUCUCAAAAGUGCACUUACCCUCUAUCCAGGAAUUUCAUUUGUAGGAACCUAUGUUAUGUACAAUUUCACUGAAGUAUUGCUUGUAUUAGAAAAAAAAGUAUGGAUGAUAGGCAGGUUGAAUAAAUGUUAAUGUUUUCAUGUAGCUAUGUAUAGGAAUGCCGCUAUGGAAAGACAUCCAGGACACCUUGUUAAAUGAAAAAAGGUUCAGUAUCUGAACACUUUUGCUAAAGGUCUCUGGAAAGCUCCCUGUGUUAAUUCUCGAUGAGACUAUGUCUGUGCCGGCUGCUUCCUGAGCCUCCUUCCAUGUGCAUAGGCCUGCUGCAUGCUGGAGACCCGCGGCACAGCUGCCAAGUGCCCCUGUGUGGUUCUGUGAUCUUGGGACAGUCACUUCCUCUCUGUGGUUGUCAGUCUUCUCAUCCCUAAGGAACUUGGAAUAACUUGCAGUGUCUUGCAGUAUUGUGAAACCAGCAACUUGUUCACAGUUCUUUUGAAUUUCCUGGGAAAUUUGAAGUGGAGUACCUGUACCAACAUGAAAUGACACGAAUUUAAGUGAAGCUCAACAAUGAAAAGCAAAAAGAACCAAAGAGGAAGCAACUGAAACAACAUCUGGAUGUAUUUAAAAAUAUACAAGGCCUCCAAAAUCAGGUGUCAUUAAUGAAAAUUCUGAAGAAAUGCCACCGGACAUAGCCAACGCACCUAUGCUGUUGUUAUUCAUUUCCUGCUUUUCACAGAAAACAAUUUUGUUGCAUGGAAGAUUGUGAACUUCAAAGGGCAGAGGGGAAACUCUCCCUUGGCCUCUACCCCUCCAAGGCCCCGCUUUUUCGUCAACACUCCUUGGACACAGCAGCAGUAUGAACAUAAUAUGGUCCUGAAUGCGGCUGAGUCUUUGGGUGCAGAAGACCUGGGUUAAUAAAAAUAGGAAGGUAAGAGAAGAAAAGAAAAAUCAAGACACAUCAUAGGACUAAAUUCCUAUUAUUUAUCCACUCAGGAUUGACCACCCCUUUGGGCCAGAUAGUUGUACCCCCAUGUACCAGGUGGGCACAUGAAGACACAAGAAGUGCUGUGAUGGCUCAUUUUGCAUGUCACCUUGCGUGGAGUAUGCCAACUCAUUGUUUGGUCAAACACUAGUCUGGACAUGGUGGUAAAGGUAUUUUUUAGAUGAGAUUAACGCUUAAAUCAGUAAAGCAGGUUACCCACCAUACUAUGGGUGGGCCCUGUCCAAUCAGUUGAAGGCAUUAAGAACAAAGAUUGAGGUUUCCUAAAGAAGGUGGAAUUCUCCUUGAGACUACAACAUAGAAACCCUAUCUGAGUUUCCAGCCUGCUGCCCUGUGGAAUUCGAACUCAGGACUCCAGUCUAUGACAUUAACCCUCACUUAACUUUUCAGCCUGCCAGCCUGCCCUAUGGAUUUCGGACUUGCCAGCCACACAAUUCCUUAAAAUAAAUUUCUCUGUCUCUGUCUGUU